CCCCUAGAUGUUCUGGGCCGCACGCGCGCUACACUGAUGCAUUCAACGAGUCUAAAACCUGGUCUGAUAGGGCUGGGUAAUCUUUUGAAAGUGCAUCGUGAUUGGGAUAGAUGAUUGCAAUUCUUCAUCUUCAACGAGGAAUGCCUAGUAAACGCAAGUCAUCAGCUUGCAUUGAUUACGUCCCUGCCCUUUGUACACACCGCCCGUCGCUCCUACCGAUUGAAUGAUCCGAUGAAUACCAUGGAUUGAGAGUACGAAUGGGUUCGCUCAUUUCUGCUGCUCGAGAAGUGGAGUAAAUCUUAUCAUUUAGAGGAAGGAGAAGUCGUANCA
This 330-nucleotide ribosomal RNA is filed under the name uncultured eukaryote. RNAcentral's name for it is "partial 18S ribosomal RNA". It matches the Rfam family "Eukaryotic small subunit ribosomal RNA", at positions 1470 to 1796 of the family's 1831-position model. The record is from RNAcentral.